Molecule: ribosomal RNA, 2755 nt
Filed under: Klebsiella pneumoniae subsp. pneumoniae
Lineage: Bacteria; Pseudomonadati; Pseudomonadota; Gammaproteobacteria; Enterobacterales; Enterobacteriaceae
Description: bacterial LSU rRNA
Rfam family: Bacterial large subunit ribosomal RNA
Source: RNAcentral
ACUAUCGUUAACUGAAUACAUAGGUUAACGAGGCGAACCGGGGGAACUGAAACAUCUAAGUACCCCGAGGAAAAGAAAUCAACCGAGAUUCCCCCAGUAGCGGCGAGCGAACGGGGAGCAGCCCAGAGUCUGAAUCAGCUUGUGUGUUAGUGGAACGGUCUGGAAAGUCCGACGGUACAGGGUGAUAGUCCCGUACACCAAAAUGCACAGGUUGUGAACUCGAAGAGUAGGGCGGGACACGUGGUAUCCUGUCUGAAUAUGGGGGGACCAUCCUCCAAGGCUAAAUACUCCUGACUGACCGAUAGUGAACCAGUACCGUGAGGGAAAGGCGAAAAGAACCCCGGCGAGGGGAGUGAAAAAGAACCUGAAACCGUGUACGUACAAGCAGUGGGAGCACCUUCGGGUGUGACUGCGUACCUUUUGUAUAAUGGGUCAGCGACUUAUAUUCUGUAGCAAGGUUAACCGUAUAGGGGAGCCGCAGGGAAACCGAGUCUUAACUGGGCGUUAAGUUGCAGGGUAUAGACCCGAAACCCGGUGAUCUAGCCAUGGGCAGGUUGAAGGUUGGGUAACACUAACUGGAGGACCGAACCGACUAAUGUUGAAAAAUUAGCGGAUGACUUGUGGCUGGGGGUGAAAGGCCAAUCAAACCGGGAGAUAGCUGGUUCUCCCCGAAAGCUAUUUAGGUAGCGCCUCGUGAACUCAUCUUCGGGGGUAGAGCACUGUUUCGGCUAGGGGGUCAUCCCGACUUACCAACCCGAUGCAAACUACGAAUACCGAAGAAUGUUAUCACGGGAGACACACGGCGGGUGCUAACGUCCGUCGUGAAGAGGGAAACAACCCAGACCGCCAGCUAAGGUCCCAAAGUCAUGGUUAAGUGGGAAACGAUGUGGGAAGGCACAGACAGCCAGGAUGUUGGCUUAGAAGCAGCCAUCAUUUAAAGAAAGCGUAAUAGCUCACUGGUCGAGUCGGCCUGCGCGGAAGAUGUAACGGGGCUAAACCAUGCACCGAAGCUGCGGCAGCGACACUAUGUGUUGUUGGGUAGGGGAGCGUUCUGUAAGCCUGCGAAGGUGUGCUGUGAGGCAUGCUGGAGGUAUCAGAAGUGCGAAUGCUGACAUAAGUAACGAUAAAGCGGGUGAAAAGCCCGCUCGCCGGAAGACCAAGGGUUCCUGUCCAACGUUAAUCGGGGCAGGGUGAGUCGACCCCUAAGGCGAGGCCGAAAGGCGUAGUCGAUGGGAAACAGGUUAAUAUUCCUGUACUUGGUGUUACUGCGAAGGGGGGACGGAGAAGGCUAUGUUAGCCGGGCGACGGUUGUCCCGGUUUAAGCAUGUAGGCUGGUUGUCCAGGCAAAUCCGGAUAAUCAAGGCUGAGGUGUGAUGACGAGGCACUACGGUGCUGAAGUAACAAAUGCCCUGCUUCCAGGAAAAGCCUCUAAGCAUCAGGUAACAUCAAAUCGUACCCCAAACCGACACAGGUGGUCAGGUAGAGAAUACCAAGGCGCUUGAGAGAACUCGGGUGAAGGAACUAGGCAAAAUGGUGCCGUAACUUCGGGAGAAGGCACGCUGGUGUGUAGGUGAAGCCCCUGCGGGUGGAGCUGAGACCAGUCGAAGAUACCAGCUGGCUGCAACUGUUUAUUAAAAACACAGCACUGUGCAAACACGAAAGUGGACGUAUACGGUGUGACGCCUGCCCGGUGCCGGAAGGUUAAUUGAUGGGGUUAUCCGUAAGGAGAAGCUCUUGAUCGAAGCCCCGGUAAACGGCGGCCGUAACUAUAACGGUCCUAAGGUAGCGAAAUUCCUUGUCGGGUAAGUUCCGACCUGCACGAAUGGCGUAAUGAUGGCCAGGCUGUCUCCACCCGAGACUCAGUGAAAUUGAACUCGCUGUGAAGAUGCAGUGUACCCGCGGCAAGACGGAAAGACCCCGUGAACCUUUACUAUAGCUUGACACUGAACAUUGAGCCUUGAUGUGUAGGAUAGGUGGGAGGCUUUGAAGCGUGGACGCCAGUCUGCGUGGAGCCAACCUUGAAAUACCACCCUUUAAUGUUUGAUGUUCUAACGUUGGCCCCUGACCGGGGUUGCGGACAGUGUCUGGUGGGUAGUUUGACUGGGGCGGUCUCCUCCCAAAGCGUAACGGAGGAGCACGAAGGUUAGCUAAUCCUGGUCGGACAUCAGGAGGUUAGUGCAAUGGCAUAAGCUAGCUUGACUGCGAGCGUGACGGCGCGAGCAGGUGCGAAAGCAGGUCAUAGUGAUCCGGUGGUUCUGAAUGGAAGGGCCAUCGCUCAACGGAUAAAAGGUACUCCGGGGAUAACAGGCUGAUACCGCCCAAGAGUUCAUAUCGACGGCGGUGUUUGGCACCUCGAUGUCGGCUCAUCACAUCCUGGGGCUGAAGUAGGUCCCAAGGGUAUGGCUGUUCGCCAUUUAAAGUGGUACGCGAGCUGGGUUUAGAACGUCGUGAGACAGUUCGGUCCCUAUCUGCCGUGGGCGCUGGAGAAUUGAGGGGGGCUGCUCCUAGUACGAGAGGACCGGAGUGGACGCAUCACUGGUGUUCGGGUUGUCAUGCCAAUGGCACUGCCCGGUAGCUAAAUGCGGAAGAGAUAAGUGCUGAAAGCAUCUAAGCACGAAACUUGCCCCGAGAUGAGUUCUCCCUGAGACUUUAAGUCUCCUGAAGGAACGUUGAAGACGACGACGUUGAUAGGCCGGGUGUGUAAGCGCAGCGAUGCGUUGAGCUAACCGGUACUAAUGAACCGUGAGGCUUAACC